UACGGAGGGUGCAAGCGUUAUCCGGAUUUACUGGGUUUAAAGGGUGCGUAGGUGGGCGGAUAAGUCAGCGGUGAAAUCUCCAGGCUUAACUUGGAAACUGCCAUUGAUACUAUCUGUCUUGAAUAUCCUGGAGGUGAGCGGAAUAUGUCAUGUAGCGGUGAAAUGCUUAGAUAUGACAUAGAACACCAAUUGCGAAGGCAGCUCACUACGGGAUCAUUGACACUGAGGCACGAAAGCGUGGGGAUCAAACAGG
Molecule: ribosomal RNA, 253 nt
Filed under: uncultured bacterium
Lineage: Bacteria
Description: partial 16S ribosomal RNA
Rfam family: Bacterial small subunit ribosomal RNA
Source: RNAcentral